RNAcentral lists this ribosomal RNA (353 nucleotides) under uncultured bacterium. RNAcentral's name for it is "bacterial SSU rRNA". It matches the Rfam family "Bacterial small subunit ribosomal RNA", at positions 8 to 353 of the family's 1533-position model. The record is from RNAcentral.
AGAGUUUGAUCCUGGCUCAGGAUGAACGCUAGCUACAGGCUUAACACAUGCAAGUCGAGGGGAAACGACAUCGAAAGCUUGCUUUUGAUGGGCGUCGACCGGCGCACGGGUGAGUAACGCGUAUCCAACCUGCCCACCACUUGGGGAUAACCUUGCGAAAGUAAGACUAAUACCCAAUGACGUCUCUAGAAGACAUCUGAAAGAGAUUAAAGAUUUAUCGGUGAUGGAUGGGGAUGCGUCUGAUUAGCUUGUUGGCGGGGUAACGGCCACCAAGGCGACGAUCAGUAGGGGUUCUGAGAGGAAGGUCCCCCACAUUGGAACUGAGACACGGUACCAACUCAUACGGGGNGGCA